UGGGGAAUAUUGGACAAUGGGCGCAAGCCUGAUCCAGCCAUGCCGCGUGAGUGAUGAAGGCCCUAGGGUUGUAAAGCUCUUUCACCGGUGAAGAUAAUGACGGUAACCGGAGAAGAAGCCCCGGCUAACUUCGUGCCAGCAGCCGCGGUAAUACGAAGGGGGCUAGCGUUGUUCGGAUUUACUGGGCGUAAAGCGCACGUAGGCGGACUUUUAAGUCAGGGGUGAAAUCCCGGGGCUCAACCCCGGAACUGCCUUUGAUACUGGAAGUCUUGAGUAUGGUAGAGGUGAGUGGAAUUCCGAGUGUAGAGGUGAAAUUCGUAGAUAUUCGGAGGAACACCAGUGGCGAAGGCGGCUCACUGGACCAUUACUGACGCUGAGACGCGAAAGCGUGGGGAGCAAACGGGAUUAGAUACCCAAGUAGUCCCUGAGCGGGCUGGCAAGGCGCAU
RNAcentral lists this ribosomal RNA (447 nucleotides) under uncultured bacterium. RNAcentral describes it as "bacterial SSU rRNA". It matches the Rfam family "Bacterial small subunit ribosomal RNA", at positions 355 to 825 of the family's 1533-position model. The record is from RNAcentral.